Molecule: RNA transcript, 3580 nt
Organism: Lynx canadensis (Canada lynx)
Lineage: Eukaryota; Metazoa; Chordata; Mammalia; Carnivora; Felidae
Gene: CTSB
Gene name: cathepsin B
Exons: 8
Source: RefSeq, a predicted model, not a curated record
GGGCGUGGCGAGUCAGCCGGGCGCUGUAAAUAGGCGCUGGGGCCGGCUCGGGGAAGCUCCGGCGGCGGCUUGGGCGUCGGCACUCCAGCUCGCAGGCUGCAGGCCCAGGCUUUCGGCUGCGGAGUCGGUGACUCUAAGAUCCAGCAUCCAAAAUGUGGCAGCUCUUGGCCACUCUUAGCUGCCUGGUGGUGCUGACCAAUGCCCAGAGCAGACCGCCUCUCCAGCUCCUGUCGGAUGAGCUGGUCGACUAUGUUAACAAGCGUAACACUACAUGGAAGGCUGGACACAACUUCUACCAUGUGGAGCCGAGCUACCUGAGGAGGCUGUGCGGCACCAUCCUGGGUGGGCCCAAGUUGCCCCAGAGAGUUUCGUUUGCCGAGGACAUGGUUCUGCCUGAAAACUUCGAUGCCCGGGAACACUGGCCUAACUGCCCGACCAUCAAAGAGAUCCGAGACCAGGGUUCCUGUGGUUCCUGCUGGGCAUUUGGGGCUGUGGAAGCCAUUUCUGACCGGAUCUGCAUCCUCACCAAUGGCCACGUCAAUGUGGAGGUGUCCGCCGAGGACAUGCUCACCUGCUGUGGUGACCAGUGUGGGGAUGGCUGUAAUGGGGGCUUUCCUGCUGAAGCUUGGAACUUCUGGACAAAACAAGGCCUGGUUUCUGGUGGCCUCUAUGAUUCCCAUGUAGGCUGCAGACCCUACUCCAUCCCUCCCUGUGAGCACCACGUGAAUGGCUCCCGGCCCCCAUGCACAGGAGAGGGGGACACCCCCAAGUGCAGCAAGAUCUGUGAGCCCGGCUACACCCCAUCCUACAAAGAAGACAAGCACUACGGUAAGGUGGGGCCUGGGCUACUACCCAGCACCCCGGGCCCCGGGGACCUGCCGACGCCCUUCCCAGGCCGGAGAAAGGGAGAGGCCAGGGCAAGUGAGUCUGAGUCAGGAACGCAGGAUGGAGAAAGAAAAGUUAUGAAGGACUCUCCUGCCAGAGAGCAGCACGCUGCAUUUCUGCAUGUCUCCACCCUGAAUUUGGCCUCAGGAUUCCUGUUGUUUGAGAGUCACAGACCCUCUGAGUGGGGAGGGACCAGACCCCUUGCUUUACAGAGGAGUAAUCUGGCCGAGAAUCUUUCUGGGUGCCACUCUACCCUUCUUCCAGGGUCUCCUGCUCACUGCCCCUCCCGAUACAGAGCUCUGCUCUCCCACUUCUUGGCUUCCGGGUCCAAUUCCAUCAUUCUCCUCUGCAGAAGCCUUCCCUGACCCCCUGGGCUGGGCGAAUCCCCCUUUAAAGCAGUGCAUAGUUGACUGAGGGAACCGUGGGAAGCACGCCUCAACCCCCACUCGGCUGAUUCAUUUGCCAGGAUGCAAUUCCUACAGCGUGUCAAACAGUGAGAAAGAGAUCAUGGCGGAGAUCUACAAAAAUGGCCCUGUAGAGGCGGCCUUCUCUGUGUUUUCGGACUUCUUGCUGUACAAGUCUGGUAUGUAUUGGCCCCUCUGAUGGCAGUGGGAGCAGAGGAGGUCUGGGUUCCGGGGGACCACCAGGACUCUAUCAAGGAAGAAGACCUCAUUUUGUCCUGGCCACGUCCCAGAUCAUGCCUCACAUUCAGUGGAUGAGAAGACAGGAAGCACCUGGCCGUGUGGGAGGCUGUGGGGAUUCACCCGGGGAAUGAGGACAGCCCCUGGCCCAAGAGCCCUCUUGGAAACCCCCCAUUCUAGAUGAACGGUCUAUAGCUGACCACUUCGGUCUCAUUUACAUUGUGCCAGACGGAAAACUUCAAACCUCUCAACUUUUAUGAAACCUCAUUGGAUAAAGAUGAUUCUGGCAAGGAAAAAGUUAUAAAGCUGGCAGUUUUUAACAGUCCCCACCCAUAUUACAAAAGGAUGCAUUUUCAUUUGACAAAGUGAUUGGCCAAUGAGGGGAUGGCCUGCUUGACAGGCCCAUGGGCACCUCCGCCUGUAUCUUUCUUCAUCCAUCAGUGCUCGCCGCCACCGAUCCGGCCUGUCUCCUACUUCUCCUCUGCGUGUAUCCCAGGGCAGCAGUUAAAACUCUUUUAAGUUUUAUAGAACCCUUUUGACAAAUAAAUCCUUACGUGGAGUCCCAGUAUGUAGAACAGAUAACUGGUUUGUUAACAUUCCAUUUUUUCCUUAAAUUAGAAUUUGUAACUUUAGUUUUAAAGGUGACCAAGAAGCGUAUUUUGUUGGGACCCCCAUUUUAAUAUUUUUUCAACAUAUUUGAGAGUUGGGCUUUCAAAAACCUAUUUAAAUACUUCCCGAACGUUGUGGGAGCCCCUGGAGCCUUCUGGGAGAACACCAGGCCUCUUGUACUACCCUGUUUGCAAGCAGUUCUUUGGGAGGGCUCGUUGGGCCCUCUGGACCCCAUUUGUCCUGACAGGUAGCUGGCUGAGGUGCAGGGAUGCCAUGGGAAAUGGGGCAUCGGCCUGGUCUCUACCUGAAUGGGCUUUCCCUUAGGCGUGUACCAGCACGUCACCGGAGAAAUGAUGGGAGGCCAUGCUGUCCGCAUCCUGGGCUGGGGCGUGGAGAAUGACACACCUUACUGGCUGGUUGGCAACUCCUGGAACACUGACUGGGGCGACAAUGGCUUCUUUAAAAUCCUCCGGGGACGGGAUCACUGUGGAAUCGAAUCGGAAGUUGUGGCUGGAAUCCCAUGCACUGAGCAGUACUGGAAAAGGAUCUAAUCUGCUGUGGCACUGGUCUUGCCAGCCCCGGGGCAGUUUUUCCCUAAAUCGAGCCAAUUGGGCUGGUAACGGAGGGUAGGAAUGUCUUUUAUUCUUUGCAUUCAGUUGAGAUACAAGAGGUUUUGGACAGGGCCUGAAGGAUUGGGCCAAACCUCGUGUCUACCGUCAGACUGUCUUCCAAGGAGACACAUCCGAAGCCUGCCACCUUCCGGCCCGUUCAGUGGACCUGCUGUCACAGUGCACACUUAGCCCACAUCAGCUCCCGCUGCAGGCACGGCGAGGCCUCCCCCGUAGACUAGUGCUGCGCGUAGUGCCUGCUGCUCCGACUCCUGCGGCCGCCACCUCCACGCCGCUCCCCCGCCCCCCCCAACCCGCGUGCACCAGGGAGCGAGACAAACAUCCACAUGGGCCUGUAGGCUUUCCACAGGAAUAGGAAGUGGAGUUCCUCACAAGACAGAUUGCCACCAGCGGCAGUACUUCUGAGCGAGGAACUUUCUAGAUUUGGAGUAAGUUGAGGAGGAAAAUAGUGCGGCAGCUCUCUGGAGAAAGCUGUUCUCCCAGGGCCCUGCAUCCCUUGAGCUUUGCAGUGCUACAACCCCUCUCUGGUCUUCUCCGUGGCAUGGCUCCUUUUUAAAUAGGGGUUUUUAAUUUUGUGCACCUCAGCUGGUCAUACGGACAAACGAGGAAACUUUUUGGAAGAGCUGGCCUGCUUUACAGGCUGUCUCCUUACAACAAAACCGGGUGGUCGUGAGCGAAUAGGCCUAUCAGCCUGACACAGUGGAGCUCGUUUGGGAGAAGCCAGCUUUAACCGUUUAAAAAAUCACUGCUUCACUCUGUUAAUUUAACAAGGAAAGGAAUGACGGUGCCAAUAAAAGUUUGCUCCCUUAACGUGAA